UACGGAGGGUGCAAGCGUUGUUCGGAUUUACUGGGCGUAAAGCGCGCGCAGGUGGGUGUGCAAGUCGGAAGUGAAAUCCUGGGGCUCAACCCUGGGGCUGCUCCCGAAACUGCUCGCCUAGGGACUGGUAGAGGCUGGUAGAAUUCCCGGUGUAGCGGUGGAAUGCGUAGAGAUCGGGAAGAAUACCCGUGGCGAAGGCGGCCAGCUGGGCCAGGUCCGACACUGAGGCGCGAAAGCGUGGGGAGCAAAC
RNAcentral lists this ribosomal RNA (250 nucleotides) under uncultured bacterium. RNAcentral's name for it is "partial 16S ribosomal RNA". It matches the Rfam family "Bacterial small subunit ribosomal RNA", at positions 524 to 773 of the family's 1533-position model. The record is from RNAcentral.